ACAUUGCGGUUGUGGUUAGUUAAACGGGCGGUGUUGAUGUCCGCCUCGUAAACAUCGAAGCCUCCCUAUCAUCCUUCCCCCCUCCUCUCACUCUCCCAGCUUCGAAGUCCCACUAUUUUCAUUUCUUUGGAUCCGUCAGAUUUCUCAGAUUGUCUGUUUCUUCGAUCUCAUCGCCAACUUUUUUUCUUUUACGAAUCCGUCACCUUUGUUCCAUUUUCACUGCUUCCCCCCACCCAUUUUUAAGGAAACUGAGAGAGUGCAGAAGAAAACAUCAAACAAACCCACCAAUUCUCUUGUUUCCUAACUUCUCUGUUUCCAGAAAUGGAGUCCUUUCCGGUGCCGUGCCCCAAGACCACCUCGCUCCCACGCCGCCGAUCCGGGGUGAAAGAUUCUAAUACGCACCAGCACACGAUGCUCUCGCUUCAUCGCGGUUCCAGUCCCAGACCGUGUGCCUUACACGGAUCUUUCCUCGGUGACCCUAGCCAUAACUUGAAGCAAUCCAGGGACUGGAAGAUGUGUGCAAAGCUGAAUGAGGUUACGGCCGAAAAAUCUUCAAAUUCUGCACCUGUACUUUCCACAAAGUAUGGAGCCCCAUCAUCAGAAGUGAAAGUUGACUCGUCACAUCCUGUUCGAGACACCGUUCCUAAUGAAUCAUCAAUCUCAGCAUUCAUGGCUCAUGUAUCAGAUCUUAUCAAACUUGUUGAUUCGAGAGAUAUUGCGGAGCUGCAGCUGAAGCAAUUGGGCUGUGAGAUCUUAAUCAGAAAAAAGGAAGCUCUACAGCAGGCAGCUCCUGUUGCUAGUAUGCCACCACCCCUUACCCAUGUGAUGCUUCCAUCUCCUCUGCCACCAGCCACAGCAGCUGCUCCUGCUUCUGCAAACCCUCCUUCAGCAUCAGCACCUGCACCUGCCUUACCCGCCCCUGCAAAGGCAAACACUUCGUCACAUCCACCACUGAAAUGCCCCAUGGCUGGAACCUUCUAUCGCUGUCCUGCACCUGGUGAACCACCAUUUGUCAAGGUAGGAGAUAAAGUCCAGAAAGGUCAGAUUGUCUGCAUCAUCGAGGCAAUGAAACUAAUGAAUGAAAUUGAGGUAUCUCUUUCCUCGACUGUUCAAACUGAAGUGGGUUGGUCCCUACAUAUUUCUUUAGGCCUCUUUGGAGACUUAGAAUAUCUCAGUAUAUACGUGAAUAGUAGUGAAAUAGUUUGAGUAAUGUUUUAUUAGGUUUUGAGAAAUGAGAGAAAAAAAAUUAAAUAAAAAUAUUAUAAAAUUAAAAAAUUGUUUGAAUAUAAUUUUUUAAGAUUAUUUUUAUUUUGAAAUUUGAAAAGGUGAUAUUGUUUUUUAUGUUUUGUUUGAAAGUUUGUGAAAGUUGUAAUGAUUAGGUAAUAAUUAAAUGAAAAUGUUGAAGAUUUGAAAUUGAAAGUGUUUUGUGUUUGAGUGGCGUUUGGGAAGGAAAUAUCUGAAAAUGCUUAGAACAUUUGUGUUCCCAAACGAAUUCAUAAGUUUCAUCUUUAUUGGCCCCUCCUGCUGGUGUCAUUUCUAGAUGGAUAAAUUAUGUCAAUCUUCAUCGUGGAUAUGGAGAAUCAUUCUUGUUGCUUGAAUUAGGGAACAUUGUCUUGAUGGAAAAUACUUUUAAAUGACCUUAAUUUUCACAUAUACGUUGUUUUGCUAAUAUAAUUAAUUAUUUAGUCCUAUUAUCCCAAUGGAGAUUCGAAUCGAGACCAUGCCGCAUUUCACCUUGAGGCCUAAAAUGACUUAAUGCCUGACAUUUGUGAUUACUAAUGUUCAAUAUUGUGCAGGCUGAUCAGUCUGGAACAUUAACAGAGAUUCUUGUAGAGGAUACAAAGCCAGUUAGUGUAGACAUGCCUCUUUUUGUCAUUGUACCGUGAGUCACUAGGAGAGGGCCUCCUUCAAACUUCAUGGUGGUAGUCUCUCUUGAAUUUAGUUUUCAUUGAAUUUUCACACUAUAUUAAAGUUUCUUUUAAUCUGUAAUUUUAGAUUAAUAAUGGUUGACAAAGGACAUUCUCUUUUGGCAUUAUAGUUUGCUACUUGCCAUUUACGAAAAAGACAAAGCUAUAUAAUGUAAGAGCUUUGCAUAGUGUGUUAUAAAGCUUGUGAUUGUUUCUUGCAUCUCUGAAACUUGGCUAAGAUGUAGUUGUCAAACUCUUCUAUUAAAUGGUAAUGGUUACGAGGUUAUGAAA
Juglans regia (Persian walnut) is the source of this 2198-nucleotide RNA transcript. It is a transcript of the gene named biotin carboxyl carrier protein of acetyl-CoA carboxylase 2, chloroplastic-like, with no coding region annotated. The record is from RefSeq and is a predicted model, not a curated record. NCBI's taxonomy places the organism in Eukaryota, Viridiplantae, Streptophyta, Magnoliopsida, Fagales, Juglandaceae. The transcript is spliced from 6 exons.